RNAcentral lists this long non-coding RNA (266 nucleotides) under Hordeum vulgare. RNAcentral describes it as "long non-coding RNA (HVUL_LNC019159)". Lineage: Eukaryota; Viridiplantae; Streptophyta; Magnoliopsida; Poales; Poaceae. The record is from RNAcentral.
UAAUAUUUGAGUAAAACCCUGAAAACCAUUUAUGUCUGUUUUAGCUUUUUGAGAUGUUUCCAAAGGAAAUUAUCUCAGUAAAUUCCCAUAAAAUUGCAGGAGCCCUCCCAAACCAUAUUAUGUGCUCACCUAAAAUCUCACCUUGAUCCAAGGUGGGGAAGUGCACUUAGAGAGCCCAAAACCCUCUCUGUCCAGAGUAGAGUUGAACAACUCUACAUUGCAAAGUUUCUCCAAUGGAGCUGAAACUUUGCACAGGUGUUUAACAC